Molecule: unclassified non-coding RNA, 365 nt
Filed under: uncultured Actinomycetes bacterium
Lineage: Bacteria; Bacillati; Actinomycetota; Actinomycetes
Description: uncultured actinobacterium contains 16S-23S intergenic spacer region
Source: RNAcentral
UCCGGGUUGGACCCGGCGGUCCCGCCGGACAUGGUAACUGGCAGCGAGGGUUGCGCUCGUUGCGGGACUUAACCCAACAUCUCACGACACGAGCUGACGACAACCAUGCACCACCUGUGAACCAGCCCCAAAGGGGAAACCACAUCUCUGCGGCGGUCUAGUCCAUGUCAAGCCUUGGUAAGGUUCUUCGCGUUGCAUCGAAUUAAUCCGCAUGCUCCGCCGCUUGUGCGGGCCCCCGUCAAUUCCUUUGAGUUUUAGCCUUGCGGCCGUACUCCCCAGGCGGGGUGCUUAAUGCGUUAGCUUCGGCACGGAACGGGUUGAAGACCGCCCCACACCUAGCACCCAACGUUUACGGCUGGGACUAC